UAAAUGUCCACUUGAAGCUUGUGUGUAGCAGGAUGCAUCUCCACUGAGCAUCAGUGUUGAGAGGGGAGAACUCAGGAGGUCUACCUUCCCACCCUUGCAUGACUCCCCAAAAAGGAAAAGAAAAGGGAAGGAAAGAAAACCCUCACCAAAUCCAGUUUUGCUGCCCAUAUACUCAUUGGAGCAUGUCCAAACCGCCAGUGACCAGCCACUCAAAGAAGCCUGAGCCCUUUCCCACCAGCAUCAUCCCCACCAAAGCCAUCAACUGGGAAGAACUACACUUGCGCAUCUUUAUCACAGUUUUUAAGGACUCUCUUCAAUAAUUUCAUGUCUGGACUGUUUCUUCCCCUUUUUAGGAGGGGCCGGACAGGUUGGCACAGAAGCCUUCAAUGUCUUUCAAUCUCAGUUAAGAGUCUGCAGUCAUUGAUACCACUGCAAAAGAAGCUUCCCCACCCAUAGCUGCCAGUGGCUGCAGAAAAUCAUGGAUAUCAACAUGUUUCCCUCAGCAUCAUGAAUCAUGGAAAGCUUUCAAGGAGGCUUAACUCAGAAAAUGAACCAUUCUUCAUCUUGGAUAUCUUACUGUUCAGAGUCAAGUGAUCAUGCAGUUGGGCAGCGUGUUUGGGGGCAGUAUUGCUCAAGCUCCAGGCUUUGCAUGCUGGUGACCUUGCCCUCACCUUCAGUGGCCAUGCUAGUACACUGGGCAAGAACCAUGACAACCAUUGUGUUUGCAGCUUGUUGGCCCAUACCUGUCUCUGCUGCCACAUUUCUAGUCAGCUUCUCUCCAUUGUGUGGACUGCUCUAUUUUGACAUUUUUUUUUUCCUCAGGUUGGGAGGGAUUUUAAAAACAUAGUUGGGCAGGUUCCAUUAGUCACCACACCUUGCCCAUCUCCAAAGCCUCCUAAGCCUCAGAGCUCUGUGUGUUUCCCACGUGUCUGUUGUUAUACAGCUUGGGAUAAAGUCAUUAAUCCUCUUCUUUGGGUUAAACAUGAUGACGUAGAUGCAGAAGUGACCCAUUUUACACCAAGAUACACUCAACACCUCAAAGGACCACUGCAAACACCCAAUUCCAAGCCUGUCACCCUGUGGAUUAUGGCAUGGUUUCUGGGGGUGAAUUGUGGGGAAACACUCAUCACACGACAUCCCGCAUCAUCAAUAGACCAUCUCAGGCAGAGAGUGAGAGUGUUCCACACUGCUGCAUAAAUGCCACAGAUUUAACAGUGUCCUAGCUAGCGGCUCUUCUGGUGCGCGAUGACUUCCAAAGAAAUUGCCUAGCUCAGUGUGUCUUCAGCCAUAUCCUCUACUUGGCCGUGCAGAUGUGCGGUUGUAUGAGCCACCCUGUGAGGCGGUAGAGAGCAAAGCCUUGGCUUGAUAUCGUUCCCAGUCUUUACUAUUCUAUUUUGAUUGCACAAAGUGCUUACUACAUAUCGGUUGAACUGACUUGAAUGAGUUCAUUCAUACACAGAGUGAAGUCUUGAUAGCACUGGGCAUAUUCCAAGUGGAUUACAAAGGCAAUGCAAAGGGAGAUUGUUUUAAUCAGGGACAUUACAUAAACGAACACUAGUUAUUAUCAAGGCUUAACACGAUGAGGGGUUACUUUGCCAGGACACCACUGGGCGAAGGGUUCCAGACUGGCUUUCUUCCUGUGUCUAGGCUGCUUCACUGCAGCGGCCACAGUAAUCCCAGACAGAGGUCCCUGCCAAGCCAUAUGGAUUAUUAAUGCUUGAUCCUCAGUUACUGCUGUAGCAGCUCCACCUUAUCUGAGAGUUUGCUUUUUUGAAGUUUUAGUUACCAGAAGUCAGUCUCAGGCCAAAAGCUCUGAAUGCCAAAGGUACUCCACAGGUUUAACUGUGCACUGUUUUGAGUAUGGUGAAGUCCUGUUACCCUGCUGUGUCCUACCUGGGAGGUGAAUCAGCCCUUUUGUCCAGUAUGUCCAUAGUGUAUUAGCUAAGCACAUGUCAUUCACUUGCUGCUCAUCUCAGUUAUCAGGUAAUUGCUGUAGGGUCAGUAAUGCAUACGUGCAUUCCUAAACCCCUGGGCAGCAGCCUACAUUCACCCCUAUGUUUCCUCAGGUAGGCACUUCGUUAUCUGGAAUUGUAAGCACAAGAGGAUAUGUUUGUGUGUGUUUGUGUAUGUGUGUGUGUGUAAUGUGUAAAGAUCAUAUACUAUCCUAUA
Molecule: long non-coding RNA, 2169 nt
Organism: Rattus rattus (black rat)
Lineage: Eukaryota; Metazoa; Chordata; Mammalia; Rodentia; Muridae
Exons: 2
Source: RefSeq, a predicted model, not a curated record